CGCGUAGGCGGUUCGUUAAGUCCUGUGUGAAAUCCCCCGGCUCAACUGGGGAACUGCACAGGAAACUAGCGGGCUUGAGUUCGGGAGAGGGAAGCGGAAUUCCGGGUGUAGCGGUGAAAUGCGUAGAUAUCCGGAGGAACACCGGUGGCGAAGGCGGCUUCCUGGACCGACACUGACGCUGAGGCGCGAAAGCUAGGGGAGCAAACG
Molecule: ribosomal RNA, 207 nt
Filed under: uncultured bacterium
Lineage: Bacteria
Description: partial 16S ribosomal RNA
Rfam family: Bacterial small subunit ribosomal RNA
Source: RNAcentral